Long non-coding RNA from Leopardus geoffroyi (Geoffroy's cat), 699 nucleotides. RefSeq lists it as uncharacterized. The transcript has 3 exons. The record is from RefSeq and is a predicted model, not a curated record. NCBI's taxonomy places the organism in Eukaryota, Metazoa, Chordata, Mammalia, Carnivora, Felidae.
CGUUUCGGGUUCGACUCUGGAAUCGCCUCGACCAGAAAGAUACUUUUGGAGGCCCAGAGGGGAGGAGCUGAUGCUUCCGUCCAGCCCGGGGAAGGAAAUCGAGGAAAACGCGGAGAACCUUGCUACCCGGGCUGUUGCCCACUCCCCUCCCCUUCUCCACAACAGUUACUCCUCCUUUCCUCCAGCAUUUGGUUUUACUCUCAGAGACUAAGGGAGGAAAUCACCUACUUAGACGCAGUUCUCCCCUUUAACUGCACUAACGAUCUUAAGAUCACUAAAGCCGAAAGCACUGAACCCCGCAAACUGAACGGAUUUUAAUCAUCAAAGAAAAUGCAUAUGAAGAGAGAUUACUUACCAACAGGUCAAGAGGAAGUGGUUUUAUUAAAUUUUUAAAUGUUCACACAGUUUUGCCUUCAAUUGAUUGGAAUCUGUUUCUGGAUAACAUCUACUCUUGCAAAGCCUGCCCGCCACCCCCCACCCCAUACAACAGGCCUCAAAGAUCUGCCAUUCUGGUGUUUUCCAGGAAGCAUCUGGCACAUCAGUUCCACAGAAGACUGCUUCAGUGUGCCUGGGUACCUACCAACUCCAUCAGCUCUUCCUCAUCCUUUCUGAAAAGCUCUUGGAAGGCAGUUUCUUUUGUUAUUGUCCCUCUCAAAAUGUGACCCCAACAAUAAAUUCAAGGUUUCAUCCCAAAUAACA